CACGUAGUUAGCCGAUGCUUAUUCCUUAGCUACCGUCACUUUCUUCUUCACUAAGAAAAGAAGUUUACAAUCCGAAAACCGUCUUCCUUCACGCGGCGUUGCUGCAUCAGGGUUUCCCCCAUUUGUGCAAUAUUUCCCACUGCUGCCUCCCGUAGGAGUCUGGGCCGUAUCUCAGUCCCAAUGUGGCCGUUCAACCUCUCAGUCCGGCUACUGAUCGUCGACUUGGUAGGCCGUUACCCCACCAACUAUCUAAUCAGACGCGAGCCCAUCUUUCAGCGGAUUGCUCCUUUGAUAUCAAACCGAUGCCGAUUCAAUAUAUCAUGCGGUAUUAGCGACCGUUUCCAGCCCGUUAUCCCCCUCUGAAAGGCAGGUUGCUCACGUGUUACUCACCCGUCCGCCACUAAGUUAAAAGCUCGUCACUCCGAAGAGAUCUAAGCAAGUAACUUCGUUCGACUUGCAUGUGUUAGGCACGCCGCCAGCGUUCAUCCUGAGCCGAGUACUAACUAACUCUC
This 512-nucleotide ribosomal RNA is filed under the name uncultured Oscillospiraceae bacterium. RNAcentral describes it as "partial 16S ribosomal RNA". Lineage: Bacteria; Bacillati; Bacillota; Clostridia; Eubacteriales; Oscillospiraceae. The record is from RNAcentral.